This is a long non-coding RNA of Fukomys damarensis (Damara mole-rat), 1177 nucleotides long. NCBI's taxonomy places the organism in Eukaryota, Metazoa, Chordata, Mammalia, Rodentia, Bathyergidae. The record is from Ensembl.
CCUCCUACAUCACAGCCGCCAGAGCAAGGGAACACAGGGCCCUCCCUGGACACCCUCCCACCACGUUCUCGGGAGUAGCAGGGGUGUCCAUGGGGGGAGCCCCGGUGGGAAUCAGCACACCCACGUGUCCACUGGGGCUGGAGGCUGGGCCAGGGACACUCAAGACUUCCCCAGGCCAUCACGGGAAAGCUCAGUGACGGCCAUGAAGGUCACGUUCCUGCUGUGUACCUGUCACUUACCUCAGGGUAGCUGGGGAAGCCAGCAUCUGCAGAGCUCAGUUUGCUGAAAGCCAGCCCAGCCACCUGCACAGCGAAGGGACAGACAUAUCCUCUCAUCCUGGGAGAGAAGAUGAAGGAAGGUUUCCCACUAUGCCAUGAGGACCAAUCAGAAGAUGCUCUUUUCAAUCCUUUAUCUGCAUCUAAGCACAGCCAGUGAAGGGACCCCAUUUCUGAGUCAUCGUUUACAUGCAGCAGGAAGCACAGCAAGGUUUUUGAUGGACAGUUAUGUGGGGAUGAGAUCCCAAGAGAGUGUUUGAGAGGACAACUGUGCCAGAGAGGCCGAUUUUGGAGAUUCUGAAGCCUCAGGAGGAAGGAAGACGAGACUUGAAGAAGAUUCCCCAAGAGUUGGCUUCCCAGGGGAAGCAGAAGUGGGCUCUGAGAGAGGAGCUGUGUCAAACGCGUUUCCGGCUGGACAGUGGGCUGGGCAUUCUGCAUCGCGGUCCAGCCCAGUACGGCAAGUGAUGCAGAGGCGGUGCCAACGGCAUCGCCUGAAAGUUGAUGGAGGAAAUGGAAACUUCUGUCUCAGGACCACCGCGUACAUGAUGGCUCAAUGAACUACUGAGUUACCGCCUAGGCACAAAAUCCACCUUUACACACCUUUUCGUGUGGAAGGGCAGGGAUCCCCUGGAUUUCCAUGUGAUUUCCUUCUGGCUUCAGGAUGUGGCCUGCCUGUCCCUUUGCGUGUUCAGUUCUUGCUUUGGACUUGUAGUAAGUGACCUGUCCUAAAGAAUCUGAAGCUGAAAGCUUCUGUUCUAAUGCAGAAAGUCACUGAAAGCUUACAUUCCUUGUGAAAAAAAAAUCUGAAUCUGCUGAUAUUGAAGGAAGUGGGGAAGGGAAAAGUUGAAUAGGAAAAGUGAAACAAAACACCAUAAAAAGUAAUCACAUUCCAGUGCCUGUGC